Molecule: non-coding RNA, 31 nt
Filed under: Mus musculus (house mouse)
Lineage: Eukaryota; Metazoa; Chordata; Mammalia; Rodentia; Muridae
Source: RNAcentral
UAUUAUCUGAAUUAUUUAUGAGCCUCAUCCU